GGCGACCUGGCUCAGUGGUUAGAGCACUGGUCUUUUAAACCAGGGGUCGUGAGUUCAAUCCCUCACUGGUGUGG
RNAcentral lists this transfer RNA (74 nucleotides) under Araneus ventricosus. Its description in RNAcentral is "tRNA-Lys". The stretch from base 8 to 66 matches the Rfam family "tRNA", at positions 8 to 63 of the family's 71-position model. Rfam says of the family: Transfer RNA (tRNA) molecules are approximately 80 nucleotides in length. Their secondary structure includes four short double-helical elements and three loops (D, anti-codon, and T loops). The record is from RNAcentral. Lineage: Eukaryota; Metazoa; Arthropoda; Arachnida; Araneae; Araneidae.